This 203-nucleotide unclassified non-coding RNA is filed under the name Hevea brasiliensis (rubber tree). Lineage: Eukaryota; Viridiplantae; Streptophyta; Magnoliopsida; Malpighiales; Euphorbiaceae. The record is from RNAcentral.
GUUAUAUUGGGGUCCAUAUUUACCCACCAAUUUCAAGAAUUAGAAGGAAGAAGAAAAAAGAUUGGGACUUUUAUUAAAUUUGUUUGGUGGAAGAUUAGAGGGACAGGCUGGCAAAAAUAGAAAUUGGUUUUAGCAGUACACAUUUUGUACAUAAGUAUUUAUUUUAUUAUAUAAUGUUUUAAAGUAGGGUCUUACUGUUUGAC